RNAcentral lists this ribosomal RNA (275 nucleotides) under uncultured Staphylococcus sp. RNAcentral's name for it is "partial 16S ribosomal RNA". It matches the Rfam family "Bacterial small subunit ribosomal RNA", at positions 87 to 355 of the family's 1533-position model. The record is from RNAcentral. Lineage: Bacteria; Bacillati; Bacillota; Bacilli; Caryophanales; Staphylococcaceae.
GUACGUUAGCGGCGGACGGGUGAGUAACACGUGGGUAACCUACCUAUAAGACUGGGAUAACUUCGGGAAACCGGAGCUAAUACCGGAUAAUAUUUCGAACCGCAUGGUUCGAUAGUGAAAGAUGGUUUUGCUAUCACUUAUAGAUGGACCCGCGCCGUAUUAGCUAGUUGGUAAGGUAACGGCUUACCAAGGCGACGAUACGUAGCCGACCUGAGAGGGUGAUCGGCCACACUGGAACUGAGACACGGUCCAGACUCCUACGGGAGGCAGCAGCA